GACGGGACCGCACAAGCGGUGGAUGAUGUGGAUUAAUUCGAUGCAACGCGAAAACCUUACCUACCCUUGACAUGUCCGGAAUCCCGAAGAGAUUUGGGAGUGCUCGCAAGAGAACCGGAACACAGGUGCUGCAUGGCUGUCGUCAGCUCGUGUCGUGAGAUGUUGGGUUAAGUCCCGCAACGAGCGCAACCCUUGUCAUUAGUUGCCAUCAUUUGGUUGGGCACUCUAAUGAGACUGCCGGUGACAAACCGGAGGAAGGUGGGGACGACGUCAAGUCCUCAUGGCCCUUAUGGGUAGGGCUUCACACGUCAUACAAUGGUCGGUACAGAGGGUUGCCAACCCGCGAGGGGGAGCUAAUCCCACAAAGCCGACCGUAGUCCGGAUCGCAGUCUGCAACUCGACUGCGUGAAGUCGGAAUCGCUAGUAAUCGUGGAUCAGCAUGUCACGGUGAAUACGUUCCCGGGUCUU
This 468-nucleotide ribosomal RNA is filed under the name uncultured Rhodocyclaceae bacterium. Its description in RNAcentral is "bacterial SSU rRNA". It matches the Rfam family "Bacterial small subunit ribosomal RNA", at positions 917 to 1381 of the family's 1533-position model. Lineage: Bacteria; Pseudomonadati; Pseudomonadota; Betaproteobacteria; Rhodocyclales; Rhodocyclaceae. The record is from RNAcentral.